This is a small nucleolar RNA of Cavia porcellus (domestic guinea pig), 118 nucleotides long. NCBI's taxonomy places the organism in Eukaryota, Metazoa, Chordata, Mammalia, Rodentia, Caviidae. The record is from Ensembl.
AAGCAUGUGUCCAAGGACUGUGGCUGGUGUGGUCUUGAGAUCUCCAACUGUGGGGGAGAGCAACCUGGAAAGACUUUCAGCCCAGGAUCUGUGGCUGCCACUCACCUUUUCUACAAAG